GCCUGGAGUGGGCGGGGCCUGGGGGCCGGGCCGGGGCGCCCGAUGGGGGCGUGCACUCUCCGCGGGGACACGCGCUCUGGGCCGCGGCAACUCGCUCCAAGUUCCCUCCCUCGCGCUCCGCGAAGCCCGCCCGAGCCCGCCCGAGCCCUCCCCUCCCCUCCUCUCCCCUCGGCGCGGACCUAGCCCUCCGCGGCCUCGCGCCCCGCGCCCCCGGCCCGCCGGCUCGGCUCCCCCCGGCCCCGCGGGGCGGCGCGAGGACUCGGCGGCGGCCCCCUCCCCGCGGGCCCGGGAGCCGACGCCGGCUGGGGCCGCACCUCCGGGACCGGGCAGCGCGGCCGAGAAAUCGCCGGCUGGACAUCCAGAGCACCUAGCCUGUUUUUUUCUGCAUCUUGAAUUGAGCAUUAACAGGACUCUUGAAGUUGCUCCAGGGCCAGUGGUGACCAGAUGAGGACUGGAGUCAAGUGUGCAGAGUCUUGGCGAUUAACAUGGAAACCAAACUGACCCAGGGUUAAGUAAAGGCUUAAUCCAGGAGAAGAACUUGACAGGUGAGGCUACGGGGAAGGCUAUGAACUUGGUGUGCUAGACCAUAGGGAGCUGCCCUCGCUUUGUGACCAGAUGAAUUACUUGCCAGAAUCACUGUUCUUGGCAGAUUAACCUGGAAACUGUAUUAUGGUUAAAGUGGAGAAGCCAGAAGCAGGAAUGAGCCAGGAAGUCAGAAGUGAAUGUUUAUUGAUCAGUGGCAAGGGAGAUUUAGAAAUGAAUUGCGUUCCUUGAGUUACAUUAAUAGUAGUGGCGCUAGUAAAAUAAGCAAGAGUGGGGGAACCUUGAACAUGAUUAAAGAGAAAAUCGGGCUGCUUUGUAUGAUCUGUGAUCACCUGAGUGGAGUUUGGUUCAUUUUAAUGGAGACUAUGGAUAAGUGGUUUUAGGCUGCAUGUCAGGUAAGUAAUCAAUUUGUUAUUAACUUGCUGUUGCAAGUUUAUAAGUUUUGCUUUAAGUGCCUAUACAUUUUUCUUAUCAUCCAAACAGCUUUGCUAACUAGAGGCACGUGGGGUAAAAUGGAUACCCAAUGUGUAUUUUACAUGGAGUUGUAUUUCACGUUUAUAGCAUUUGGCUUUGCCCAUUCACCUACCCCUUGCAAAAAGCAAUACUCCCUUUAAAUGAGAUGGAUAAUGGAUUGUCACAUUUACUACUGUAGUGAUAGGUUGUUCAUUGCUUCUGAAUACCAUACUUCCUUGUUUAAAUCACAUGCUCCUGGUUUUCUCAGUCAGUAUUCAAAGGGAGUUUUUACUUCCUAUUACCUCCAUUCAUUUUUUUGACUGAAGAAUUUUUUUAAGAUUCAAACAAACAAACAAACAUAAAAGCCAUCUCUGAGCCUGGGAACCAGACAGUGAACAGAUCUGUUUUCACAUAAGUAUAGAAAUGCUGGUUUUGGAAAUAUUCACUGUGGAGUUCUUGCCACAUAGUUGGCUGAUAAAACUAUAAAUAAGCUAAAACUACAGAGCUUCAUACCAUGAGAAGAAGAGCAUUUAGCUUCAUCUUCUGUGACUAAAAGACGCAAUGCAACCACAGUAAGAAGAGGACAUGGUAAUUUGCAGGGUAGCGGUGGAACCAGAGACGUUGACAUGCUGAUGGUUUUAAAGCAACCCUACAGAGUAAAUCAUUUAUUCAUGCCAUAAAUAUUUAUUGGUAACCUGCUCUGAGCCUAUUCUUCUAUAGCUGGGGUUAUGGUAGGAAACAAAAACAGUGAGUUCUGCCCUUGAGAGCCUUCUAUUUCCAUGAGAUGGAGCAGAAAUACAGAAGAUAAAUAAUACAUAUUUGAUAUUUGAGUGGUUAAAAGUAGUAUUCAGGAAACUGAAGGCUAGGGGAUAGAUGUGUGUUAUAGGAUGAGGCAGUAGCAUUUUAGAGGGUAUGCUAGGCAGGGCUGGAGGAUGACCCUUUAUUGGGUAGUGAGGCUCACAGAGCAUGGUGAAAGUGGUAUCCUGCUGGAGCUAUUAGAUGAUGUUAUCUAAGACCACAUCUCUGUAGACUGGGGUUAGAGAGUCUCCUGCUGGCUGUGAGAA
Molecule: long non-coding RNA, 2060 nt
Filed under: Canis lupus familiaris (dog)
Lineage: Eukaryota; Metazoa; Chordata; Mammalia; Carnivora; Canidae
Description: lncRNA (ENSCAFG00000052722.1)
Source: RNAcentral